Molecule: long non-coding RNA, 888 nt
Filed under: Salmo salar (Atlantic salmon)
Lineage: Eukaryota; Metazoa; Chordata; Actinopteri; Salmoniformes; Salmonidae
Description: lncRNA (ENSSSAG00000120891.1)
Source: RNAcentral
GUGUUGUAGUUGUUGUAGGAGCUACAGUUGUCAUUGUAGUAGUAGGUACUGCUGUUGUAAUGGUCGUAGUAGGUGUUGUGGUUGUCGAUGGAGCUUCAGUUGUCGUUCUAGGUGCUUCUGUUGUGGUCAUAGGAUAUACAGUUGUUGUAAUAGGAGCUGCAGUUGUCGUUGUCGUAGGAGCUGCAUUUGUAGUUGUCGUAGAAGGUGCUUCAGUUAUAGAAGUCGUAGGAGCUACAGUUGUUGUAGUAGAAGCUGCAGUGGUUGUCGAAUUAGGUGCUGCAGGUGUAGUGGUCCUAGGAGCUACAGUUGUUGUUGUUGUAGUAGGUGUUGUAGUUGUUGUAGGAGCUACAGUUGUCAUUGUGGUAGUAGGUGCUGCAGUUGUAGUGGUAGUAGAAUAUGUAGUUGUCGUAGAAGCUACAGUUGUUGUUGUAGGUGCUACUGUUAUGGUUGUCGUAGGAGGUUCAGUUGUCGUUGUAGGUGCUUCUGUUGUGGUCAUAGGAUAUACAGUUGUUGUAAUAGGAGCUGCAGUUGUCGUUGUCGUAGGAGCUGCAUUUGUAGUUGUCGUAGAAGGUGCUUCAGUUAUAGAAGUCGUAGGAGCUACAGUUGUUGUAGUAGAAGCUGCAGUGGUUGUCGAAUUAGGUGCUGCAGGUGUAGUGGUCCUAGGAGCUACAGUUGUUGUUGUUGUAGUAGGUGUUGUAGUUGUUGUAGGAGCUACAGUUGUCAUUGUGGUAGUAGGUGCUGCAGUUGUAGUGGUAGUAGAAUAUGUAGUUGUCGUAGAAGCUACAGUUGUUGUUGUAGGUGCUGCUGUUGUGGUUGUCGUAGGAGGUUCAGUUGUCGUUGUAGGUGCUUCCGUUGUGGUCGUAGGAUCUAAAAUUGUUGUAGUAGGAA